RNAcentral lists this ribosomal RNA (496 nucleotides) under Pseudocercospora eumusae. Its description in RNAcentral is "partial small subunit ribosomal RNA". It matches the Rfam family "Bacterial small subunit ribosomal RNA", at positions 361 to 909 of the family's 1533-position model. Lineage: Eukaryota; Fungi; Ascomycota; Dothideomycetes; Mycosphaerellales; Mycosphaerellaceae. The record is from RNAcentral.
AUUUGGGAGAAUGGAGGUAUAUAUCUAAUGAUGCAUAUAUACAAAUCGACUAUGUCGUAUAAAGUUCUAAAUAGAUAAUUGAUUAUGACAGAUUUCUAUUUAUGUGUCUCGACCAAUUCUUGUGCCAGCAGUCGCGGCAACACAAGUGAGACUAGUGUUAUUCAUCUUUAUUAGGUUUAAAGGGUACCUAGACGGUUUUUUUUAGCGUGAAAAAUGUACAAAAAAAACUAGAGUUUUAUAUGAGAGGUAAAUAUUAGGACUAUUGGUGUAGAGAUGAAAUUUUUUGAUACUAAUUGGAUGUAUAAUGGCGAAGGCGAUCCUCUAUUUAUAAACUGACGUUAAGGGACGAAGGCUUGGGGAGCGAAUAGGAUUAGAUACCCUAGUAGUCCAGGCAGAAAAUUAUGAAUGUUAUAGACUAACUAUAUAAUUAGUGUAUAAAUGAAAGUGUAAGCAUUCCACCUCAAGAGUAAUGUGGCAACGCAGGAACUGAAAUCAU